Molecule: ribosomal RNA, 453 nt
Filed under: uncultured Verrucomicrobiota bacterium
Lineage: Bacteria; Pseudomonadati; Verrucomicrobiota
Description: bacterial SSU rRNA
Rfam family: Bacterial small subunit ribosomal RNA
Source: RNAcentral
CCUACGGGAGGCAGCAGUCGAGAAUCUUUCACAAUGGGGGCAACCCUGAUGGAGCGACGCCGCGUGGAGGAUAAGGUCUUCGGAUUGUAAACUCCUGUCAUACGCGAACAAAUUCACGAAAGUGAACUGAUAGUACCGUAAGAGGAAGAGGCGGCUAACUCUGUGCCAGCAGCCGCGGUAAUACAGAGGCCUCAAGCGUUGUUCGGAAUCACUGGGCGUAAAGGGUGCGUAGGUGGUUGUCAAAGUCAACCGUGAAAUCUCAUCGCUCAACGAUGAAACUGCGGUCGAUACUCGGCAACUAGAGGGCUUUUGAGGAUCUUGGAAUUCACGGUGUAGCAGUGAAAUGCGUAGAUAUCGUGAGGAACACCAAAGGCGAAGGCAAAGAUCUGGGAAGAUCCUGACACUGAGGCACGAAGGCCAGGGUAGCAAACGGGAUUAGAUACCCCUGUAGUC